AGACUUUGAUCCUGGCUCAGAGUCUGAAGUCGUAACAAGGUAGCCGAGACUUUGAUCCUGGCUCAGAAUGAACGCUGGCGGCAUGGAUUAGGCAUGCAAGUCGAACGAGGUUUGCUCUUCGGAGUAAACUUAGUGGCGAAAGGGUGAGUAACGCGUGAGCAACUUGCCUCAAGGCUGGGGAUAGCCCGGGGAAACCCGGAUUAAUACCGAAUGUGGCGUCUGGUUGCAUGACCGGAUCGCUAAAGAUUUAUCACCUUGAGAUGGGCUCGCGUCCUAUUAGCUUGUUGGUGAGGUAACGGCUCACCAAGGCGACGACAGGUAGGUGGUCUGAGAGGACGAUCACCCACACUGGGACUGAGACACUGCCCAGACUCCUACGGGAGGCUGCAGUCGAGAAUCUUCCGCAAUGCGCGAAAGCGUGACGGAGCGAUGCCGCGUGAGGGAUGAAAGCCUUCNGGUCGUAAACCUCUGUCACCCGGGAUGAAUUUUGACAGUACCGGGAGAAGAACCACGGCUAACUACGUGCCANCAGCCGCGGUAAUACGUANGU
Molecule: ribosomal RNA, 550 nt
Filed under: uncultured Planctomycetota bacterium
Lineage: Bacteria; Pseudomonadati; Planctomycetota
Description: bacterial SSU rRNA
Rfam family: Bacterial small subunit ribosomal RNA
Source: RNAcentral